This 433-nucleotide ribosomal RNA is filed under the name uncultured bacterium. Its description in RNAcentral is "partial 16S ribosomal RNA". It matches the Rfam family "Bacterial small subunit ribosomal RNA", at positions 29 to 507 of the family's 1533-position model. The record is from RNAcentral.
AACGAACGCUGGCGGCAUGCCUAACACAUGCAAGUCGAACGAGACCUUCGGGUCUAGGGGCGCACGGGUGCGUAACGCGUGGGAACCUGCCCUUAGGUUCGGAAUAACUCCCCGAAAGGGGUGCUAAUACCGGAUAAUGUCUUCGGACCAAAGAUUUAUCGCCUUUGGAUGGGCCCGCGUUGGAUUAGCUAGUUGGUAGGGUAAAAGCCUACCAAGGCGACGAUCCAUAGCUGGUCUGAGAGGAUGAUCAGGCACACUGGGACUGAGACACGGCCUAGAAUCCUACGGGAGGCAGCAGUGGGGAAUAUUGGACAAGGGGCGAAAGCCUGAUCCAGCAAUGCCGCGUGAGUGAUGAAGGCCUUAGGGUUGUAAAGCUCUUUUACCCGGGAUGAUAAUGACAGUACCGGGAGAAUAAGCACCGGCUAACUCCGUG